UACGAAGGGGGCUAGCGUUGUUCGGAAUUACUGGGCGUAAAGCGUAUGCAGGCGGACUUUUAAGUCGGGGGUGAAAUCCCGAGGCUCAACCUCGGAACUGCCUUCGAUACUGGAAGUCUUGAGUCCGGGAGAGGUGAGUGGAACUCCGAGUGUAGAGGUGAAAUUCGUAGAUAUUCGCAAGAACACCAGUGGCGAAGGCGGCUCACUGGCCCGAUACUGACGCUGAGGUGCGAAAGCGUGGGGAGCAAACAGG
This 253-nucleotide ribosomal RNA is filed under the name uncultured bacterium. Its description in RNAcentral is "partial 16S ribosomal RNA". It matches the Rfam family "Bacterial small subunit ribosomal RNA", at positions 524 to 776 of the family's 1533-position model. The record is from RNAcentral.